RNAcentral lists this long non-coding RNA (330 nucleotides) under Elaeis guineensis (African oil palm). Its description in RNAcentral is "long non-coding RNA (EGUI_LNC042316)". The record is from RNAcentral. Lineage: Eukaryota; Viridiplantae; Streptophyta; Magnoliopsida; Arecales; Arecaceae.
CCGGCCGAAGUUUGUAAAAGACCGACCCUUUCAGGGCUUUUUCGGCCUCCAAUCUGGUGUGUCGCCUCUCUGAACCCCCUUGACCGUCCGAGUUUCCGGACUUCUCUAACAAUGAGCUUCGCCAUUCAUUUACCGGGCCGCUCCGAAGGCUCUCUAGGCCUCACUAUCAGCCGACCUUCUACGGUGAUCAACUAUUCUCCGAAUUCCUUCCAGACUUCUUCUGGCGGUGGAUGACCCUACUCCGAACUUCUUCCAAACUUCGUCAAUAUCCGAGCUUCUCCGGCAAUGAAGAUUUCUACAGUAACCAGACUUCAUCCAAGUUGCUACGGC